Molecule: ribosomal RNA, 253 nt
Filed under: uncultured bacterium
Lineage: Bacteria
Description: partial 16S ribosomal RNA
Rfam family: Bacterial small subunit ribosomal RNA
Source: RNAcentral
UACGUAGGGUGCAAACGUUGUUCGGAAUCACUGGGCAUAAAGGGCGCGUAGGCGGUCUGAUAAGUCAGGUGUGAAAUCCCUCGGCCUAACCGAGGAACUGCAUUUGAUACUGUCGGGCUAGAGUACAGGAGGGGAGAGUGGAAUUCCUGGUGGAGCGGUGAAAUGCGUAGAUAUCAGGAGGAACGCCGGCGGCGAAAGCGACUCUCUGGCCUGUUACUGACGCUGAGGCGCGAAAGCUAGGGGAGCAAACGGG